This is a long non-coding RNA of Sinocyclocheilus grahami, 451 nucleotides long. RefSeq lists it as uncharacterized. NCBI's taxonomy places the organism in Eukaryota, Metazoa, Chordata, Actinopteri, Cypriniformes, Cyprinidae. The record is from RefSeq and is a predicted model, not a curated record. The transcript is spliced from 3 exons.
ACAGACCCUCUGAUGUACCAACACUACAAGAGAUUCUUGGAAACUUUACAACUGGUUUCAUUCAACAUCCUAUAUGCUCCUCUCCAGCAGACAGCAAAGGUCUAAAAGUAAAUUUUUUUUUAAUAUGUCUCUCUCUCUCUCUCUCUCUUUCGUUCUUUAGUAAUUACACAUAUUUAAAAACGCGUGCAUUCAUGUGCAUCUUUAGUGCAUUGGAAUGAAAAGAAAGAUAUCAUUAGUUGAUGAUUUGAUUGACUAAGUAACAAAUGAGGCAGCAACUGAAUGUAUCACAGUCCAUGCAAUUAUAACUCCUAAUGCUGUCAAACUGAAAUUACAUCAGUAAGAAAUACUGUUUACCUGUCGUGUCAUCCAUGCGGUGUGGGCGUGACUUCACUUGGCUUCUCAGUCGCCCUCUCCUGGAUAAAACUUCAGAUGGUUAACUAGAUGCAGCUGG